Molecule: ribosomal RNA, 555 nt
Filed under: uncultured Halobacterium sp.
Lineage: Archaea; Methanobacteriati; Methanobacteriota; Halobacteria; Halobacteriales; Halobacteriaceae
Description: bacterial SSU rRNA
Rfam family: Archaeal small subunit ribosomal RNA
Source: RNAcentral
ACGGGGAGCAGCAGGCGCGAAACCUUUACACUGCACGCCAGUGCGAUAAGGGGACCCCGGGUGCGAGGGCAUACAGUCCUCGCUUUUCUGGACCGUAAGGUGGUCCAAGAAUAAGGGCUGGGCAAGACCGGUGCCAGCCGCCGCGGUAAUACCGGCAGCCCGAGUGAUAGCCACUCUUAUUGGGCCUAAAGCGUCCGUAGCCGGCUACACAGGUCCGUCGGGAAAUCCACCCGCUCAACGGGUGGACGUCCGGCGGAAACCAGGUAGCUUGGGGCCGGAAGACCAGAGGGGUACGUCCGGGGUAGGAGUGAAAUCCUGUAAUCCUGGACGGACCACCGGUUGCGAAAGCGCCUCUGGAGAACGGACCCGACGGUGAGGGACGAAAGCUAGGGUCUCGAACCGGAUUAGAUACCCGGGUAGUCCUAGCUGUAAACGAUGCUCGCUAGGUGCGGCGCAGGCUACGAGCCUGCGCUGUGCCGUAGGGAAGCCGAGAAGCGAGCCGCCUGGGAAGUACGUCUGCAAGGAUGAAACUUAAAGGAAUUGGCGGGGGAGCAC